Molecule: ribosomal RNA, 723 nt
Filed under: uncultured bacterium
Lineage: Bacteria
Description: bacterial SSU rRNA
Rfam family: Bacterial small subunit ribosomal RNA
Source: RNAcentral
AGAGUUUGAUCAUGACUCAGGACGAACGGCUGGCGGCGUGCUUAACACAUGCAAGUCGAACGGAAAGGCCUUUCGGGGUACUCGAGCGGCGAACGGGUGAGUAACACGUGAGUAAUCUGCCCUUAGCUCUGGGAUAGCUCCGGGAAACCGGGAUUAAUACCAGAUACGACCACUUUAGACAUCUGCUGUGGUGGAAAGAAUUUCGGCUAGGGAUGAGCUCGCGGCCUAUCAGCUUGUUGGUGGGGUAACGGCCUACCAAGGCGACGACGGGUAGCCGGCCUGAGAGGGCGACCGGCCACACUGGGACUGAGACACGGCCCAGACUCCUACGGGAGGCAGCAGUGGGGAAUAUUGCGCAAUGGGCGAAAGCCUGACGCAGCGACGCCGCGUGGGGGAUGAAGGCCUUCGGGUUGUAAACCCCUUUCAGCAGGGACGAAGCGAAAGUGACGGUACCUGCAGAAGAAGCGCCGGCUAACUACGUGCCAGCAGCCGCGGUAACACGUAGGGCGCAAGCGUUGUCCGGAAUUAUUGGGCGUAAAGAGCUCGUGGGCGGUCUGUUGCGUCCGCUGUGAAAACUCGGGGCUUAACCCCGAGCCUGCAGUGGAUACGGGCGGACUAGAGGUAGGUAGGGGAGAAUGGAAUUCCCGGUGUAGCGGUGAAAUGCGCAGAUAUCGGGAGGAACACCGGUGGCGAAGGCGGUUCUCUGGGCCUUACCUGACGCUG